Molecule: ribosomal RNA, 253 nt
Filed under: uncultured bacterium
Lineage: Bacteria
Description: partial 16S ribosomal RNA
Rfam family: Bacterial small subunit ribosomal RNA
Source: RNAcentral
UACGGAGGGGGCUAGCGUUAUUCGGAAUUACUGGGCGUAAAGCGCACGUAGGCGGAUUAGAAAGUCAGAGGUGAAAUCCCAGGGCUCAACCGUGGAACUGCCUUUGAAACUCCAGAUCUUGAGGCCGAGAGAGGUGAGUGGAAUUCCGAGUGGAGAGGUGAAAUUCGUAGAUAUUCGGAGGAACACCAGUGGCGAAGGCGGCUCACUGGCCCGCUACUGACGCUGAGGUGCGAAAGCGUGGGGAGCAAACAGG